Molecule: transfer RNA, 85 nt
Filed under: Acidithiobacillus thiooxidans
Lineage: Bacteria; Pseudomonadati; Pseudomonadota; Acidithiobacillia; Acidithiobacillales; Acidithiobacillaceae
Also listed under: 11 other names
Description: tRNA-Leu
Rfam family: tRNA
About the family: Transfer RNA (tRNA) molecules are approximately 80 nucleotides in length. Their secondary structure includes four short double-helical elements and three loops (D, anti-codon, and T loops).
Source: RNAcentral
GCGAGAGUGGCGGAAUUGGUAGACGCACUGGAUUUAGGUUCCAGCGCCGCACGGCGUGGGAGUUCGAGUCUCCCCUUUCGCACCA